AGAAUCAACGCUGGCGGCGUGCCUAACACAUGCAAGUCGAACGAGAAAGUGGAGCAAUCCAUGAGUAAAGUGGCGACCGGGUGAGUAACACGUGACUAACCUACCUUCGAGUGGGGGAUAACCUCGGGAAACCGAGGCUAAUACCGCAUAACAUCGUGAGAUCAAAGCAGUAAUGCGCUGGAAGAGGGGGUCGCGGCUGAUUAGCUAGUUGGCGGGGUAAUGGCCCACAAGGCGAAGAUCGGUA
Molecule: ribosomal RNA, 244 nt
Filed under: uncultured bacterium
Lineage: Bacteria
Description: partial small subunit ribosomal RNA
Rfam family: Bacterial small subunit ribosomal RNA
Source: RNAcentral